UACGAAGGUCCCAAGCGUUGCUCGGAAUCAUUGGGCGUAAAGCGAGCGCAGGUGGCUUUGUAAGUCAGGAGUGAAAUCCCGGGGCUCAACCCCGGAAGUGCUUUUGAUACUGCAAAGCUUGAGUGUGGGAGAGGAUGCUAGAAUUCCUGGUGUAGUGGUGAAAUACGUAGAUAUCAGGAGGAACUCCGGUGGCGAAGGCGGGCAUCUGGCCCAACACUGACACUUAGGCUCGAAAGCGUGGGGAGCAAACGGG
RNAcentral lists this ribosomal RNA (253 nucleotides) under uncultured bacterium. RNAcentral describes it as "partial 16S ribosomal RNA". It matches the Rfam family "Bacterial small subunit ribosomal RNA", at positions 524 to 776 of the family's 1533-position model. The record is from RNAcentral.